Long non-coding RNA from Megalobrama amblycephala (Wuchang bream), 1052 nucleotides. RefSeq lists it as uncharacterized. The record is from RefSeq and is a predicted model, not a curated record. The transcript is spliced from 5 exons. NCBI's taxonomy places the organism in Eukaryota, Metazoa, Chordata, Actinopteri, Cypriniformes, Xenocyprididae.
AAACUUAUAUACAUUUUCAAGUUUAAUAGGUUUAUUAGAAAAUAAUAAUUGCCGCAUUAUCCUAAUGAAAAAAAAAAUCUAAUUGUUUCUGGAUCUAGGCGCUAGGGGCAGAAUUCUGCCAUCUGCUGGUUAAAGAAAAUCCUGUAGGAAUGACUUAUAUUCUGAAAGUCAAUUCUUAUAACUCAACCCUCCAAACAGAUGCAUUAAAUGAUCUUCGACAUAAACAGCGAAUAACUUGCAUGUGUAUGCCCUGAUCAGUUCUGUACUGUCUGCACGCGCAGUGUCUGAUUUCAGCCGCGCGAGUCGUGCGCGAGUAAUUAGAAUGCGCGUGAACGCAGCAUUUUAAACUUCAACCGUUACGGACGUCCGUUUGAGCUCAGCGCUCGAGAGGACGACGAUUAAAUUGAAUCAAAAAGAAGAAAUGUGGUUUACGGUGCUGUCCGGCCUGCGCUAUUCUCCGCCAGGAGAAAACGCACAAGAAAACGAUGUUUCAGGAGCAGUCAAAUCACGUGAUCACUGUACACCCAGACUGUUAUAAACAUGAAUUCAAGAGAAACCACGAAGAACAAAGAGAGGAGGUGAUGAAGAUGCUUCUUCUGUGGAUAUAGCUGGAUGGACUCUGGAGUGCAGCAUUACUUCAAUAAGAUGAAAAUAACACACCUGUAUGAUUCAAGAUGUCAAGCCCCCUGAACGCAAAGAGAGUCUGCAUCAAAAUGGACGUGAACCUGACUGAAAACACAGAGAUGUCAAAAGUAUCUGUUGGCUGUCUACUUUUGUUCAAUAUGGAGCAUCCAAAUGCCAGUUUCUUUCAUUCAGCACUAUUUAGCCCUUCUCAGUACUGAAUUUGCCGCCAUGGGUCAUUUGUUUUUAUUGUUUAAAUGCUUAUCUGAAUGUUAAAUUAUCAUUUAACGCUCAAAAAAAAUUCUACUAGCUAGUCUUUUAGUUAAUUUUUUUAGAAACAUUUAUUUAUGUUAACUCUUCUAACUAUUGCUCUAUGAAUUGCAGUGUUUUAUAUUGCUUGUGUCAUUGUAAAUGCUAAUAAAAAUGUCUUA